Molecule: long non-coding RNA, 2092 nt
Organism: Esox lucius (northern pike)
Lineage: Eukaryota; Metazoa; Chordata; Actinopteri; Esociformes; Esocidae
Exons: 3
Source: RefSeq, a predicted model, not a curated record
GACGAAAGAGGGUUCAACAGUUAAUAGAAAUAUUGGUAGCAACAGUUUAUAUUCGGUGCAUUAUUUGAUCCACAACCAACCAGAACAUGUACCUUUACAAAAGAUUAAAAAAGAUUUUUGUUCCUGGCCUUUUUUGGGCUAUCUAGCCUAAUCCAGGACUGUGGAGACAUUAUUUUGGGGAAUUAAUACAGUUUUGAUUUUUUACGAUUUUUUAAAAGGAAGCCCAGCUACAAUGAAAGUGAACGGGGCAACAGAUACAACGUGCAAAAUUAUAUGAUACAUUCGGUUUUCCAAAACGGAAAGACCAGGGUAUAUUGAUAUAGGUAUCCGUAUGUUCUCCAAAAAGAACAUUGUUUCAAUGGUUAUCGCUGUUUAUUCUUUCUGGAAAAUGGAUAAGCAGCUGCCCGCGGAUGUAUCUGUCUGUGAGGUGGCUGUAUCCUUAACCGUCUUUUUUUGUUUACAGAACUGUAGCUCACGUUAGCUAGUGUAGACUAAUAUAUCAAACAAAAAUGACAAGUUCUAUUAGCUGCUGAUAAACCAACGCAAAUCUGUCUGCAAGGAGGAUUUAUCCGGCAUCCGGGAUUGUUUACUAAACUGUAGCUCACGUUAGGAGUGGGAUUUAUUGCUUCUGUAACUAAUGCCAUGGAGCCUUGAUGUGUCUGUGGAUGAGGCUGAAUCGGCACCGGCAUGUGCAACAGAUGCAGUGACUUUCAAGCUCGUACUGUAUCAACCCGGCAGUUUUAGAAACCUUCCACGUCCCCAAAGAAACUGGAAGAGGCAGAGGCGACCCGGCCCCGGAUAAGCGGAAGAAGAUGGUAUGGAUGGUAUGGUAUAGUAUGGGAUCUAGGCGUUCUCGCACACGUCGGCGUGGAGUUUGAAUGCCAUCACAGUCUGAGAGAGGCUUAUUCCCCAUGUCUCAAGCUAGUAAGUCCAUGGUCAAUAUUUAUUAUUGUAUCAUUCUUUAAUAAUCAUAAAGUAACAAAAAUUAAUGAAUGUAUUUUCUUCCACAGAAUAACAGAAAUCAGUGCUUGGAAAGCUAGUUGAACUUCUUGAUGAGAUUAAAAAGAGUCAGAAGGCCCUAUUUUCAUGCCUUUGUAUUAGAGGUAUACUACUGUCCCAUAUGGAUGAGUCAACAUGACCAGUUCCCAUUUAAGCUCAAUCUGGCAACAAUCAGUAUAUUACCAACACCAUUGGUUUAUUCAUAAUGUAUUGAGUGGCUUUUCAUGUGUCAUGUACAGGUGUCUCAGCUCUCAAUGGUGGGAGGGAGGAACAAUAAAGACUGCAUCCAAAAAGUGAUGGACAGGUAUUAAACAACUGUCACAUGCUCAGAAUAUAGAAUAUAAUUAUGCAGUUAAAUUUUUACUCAUUGCCUGCUCUGUUUGCCCUCCUCUUAGCAUAUAGAAAAGCAAAAAUGCAGAAAGAGAUGAUUCAUUAGGAAUAAUGCAAGCAUAAAGGAAUAUUUGUAGAAUGUAGGCGUGGACCUCACUAUAUGAUUUUCUGCAUUUUUUCUCAGGCUUUUCACCAACAGCCUAAUGGCUGCUUUCAACAUGAAAGUCGCAGUGAGAAAAAAGCCUUCCAGGAUACCGUUUUUUACUCUGUGGUAAAAGCUGCAGUAAUGAAGUGGAGUAAAACUGUCACAGAAGUUGAAAUCAGGGCUGCUAUGGCUGAGACACUUAAACUUAAAAUGCUUCCGGGAGAGCUGGAGGUCGCAAAGUGUGAACAUUUGUAGUGUACAUUUUCUUUCUUAGAGUUGUGUUUUGUGUUGACUCUUGGAAUGUGAAAUCUGUGUUGGUUACUAGACCUAUGUUUAUUGCACUUUUUAAAAUGUGCUGUUCUAAGCUAACCCUUUAAAGCUUUGUUUUAUUCAUAUGUUAAUCUAAAAUGUUAUUUGGCAUGUUAAUGUGUUGGGACUUGAGAAUUGACAAUUGUCAAUAGGCAUUGAGUAAACGUUAAAGAUCGACCUGUUUUCAACAUUGAAAAGUCAGACAAAUUUGACCCUAUCAUGACCCUAUUUGUUUCUUUGAUUAUUUAUAAUAUUUUAUUUGUAUUCCAGUCUGUUAUGUUGCAGUGCUAAGGAAAGAAAUUGGUGGUA